This 490-nucleotide small RNA is filed under the name Pongo abelii (Sumatran orangutan). Its description in RNAcentral is "processed transcript". Lineage: Eukaryota; Metazoa; Chordata; Mammalia; Primates; Hominidae. The record is from RNAcentral.
AGAAAGUUGAAACUGCUGAGGAUGGUUCUGGACCAAGCUCCAACUGAGCUGCAGACACUCUUUCCUGGUGUCUGAGCUGUAGGUACUAUACCAGGCCCCAACUGAGCUGCAGGCACUGUUUCCUGGUGACUGAGCUGCAGGCCAACAUAGCCGAGGUAGAGGUCUCCAUCCCUGCCAAGCUGCACAACUCACUCAUUGGCACCAAGGGCCGUCUGAUCCGCUCCAUCAUGGAGGAGUGCGGCGGGGUACACAUUCACUUUCCCGUGGAAGGUUCAGGAAGCGACACCGUUGUUAUCAGGGGCCCUUCCUCGGAUGUGGAGAAGGCCAAGAAGCAGCUCCUGCAUCUGGCGGAGGAGAAGCAAACCAAGAGUUUCACUGUUGACAUCCGCGCCAAGCCAGAAUACCACAAAUUCCUCAUCGGCAAGGGGGGCGGCAAAAUUCGCAAGGUGCGCGACAGCACUGGAGCACGCGUCAUCUUCCCUGCGGCUGA